ACCUUACCAGGGCUUGACAUGCCUCUGGAGUGUCUGGAAACAGGCACGGCCUGUAUCUUUGGAUACAGGACAGGGGACACAGGUGGUGCAUGGUUGUCGUCAGCUCGUGUCGUGAGAUGUUGGGUUAAGUCCCGCAACGAGCGCAACCCUUAUCCCUAGUUGCCAGCGCGUGAAGGCGGGGACUCUAGGGAGACUGCCGGGGACAACUCGGAGGAAGGUGGGGAUGACGUCAAAUCAUCAUGCCCCUUAUGCCCUGGGCUACACACGUGCUACAAUGGCCGGGUACAGAGGGAAGCGAAGCGGUAACGCGGAGCGAAUCCCAAAAAACCGGUCUCAGUUCGGAUUGUGGGCUGCAACUCGCCCACAUGAAGUCGGAAUCGCUAGUAAUCGCGGAUCAGCAUGCCGCGGUGAAUACGUUCCCGGGCCUUGUACACACCG
Molecule: ribosomal RNA, 438 nt
Filed under: uncultured bacterium
Lineage: Bacteria
Description: bacterial SSU rRNA
Rfam family: Bacterial small subunit ribosomal RNA
Source: RNAcentral